GAUACUGAGGAUGAGGGUGAGGGCGGCUGGGGCUCGUCCCAGAGCAGCCCCGAGAAGCAGGGGGUGGCUGCCUGCUCCCUCCCGCCUCGGCUGCCCUUCUGGCCCGCACCCCCACCUCAGGCUGGGGGUCCACGCGAGCUUUGCUUCUAGGGCCUGUAACCUGGUUUCAUCCUGGUUCCACCCUGCUGACUGGCGUGGGGAAAGGCGUGGCCGGCAGAGGGAGCGAGGCAGAAAGGAACCACGCUAGUCCAGCCAGUCGUGUCCAACUCUUCGAGACCCCUCGGACGGCAGCACGCCAGGCCUCCCUGUCCAUCUCGCUGGCUGGGCGGCGAGGGCAUUGGGGUGGGCGCAGUGAAGGGUGGCGGGGGCCCGGGAGGGUCAGGGGCAAGAACACUGGAGUGGGUUGCCAUUUCCUUCUCCAAUGCAUGAAAGUGAAGCCGCUUAGUCGUGUCCAACUCUUCGAGACCCCUCGGACGGCAGCACGCCAGGCCUCCCUGUCCAUCACCAGCUCCUGGAGCUCACCCAGACGUGUGUCCAUCGCGUCGGUGAUGCCAUCCAGCCAUCUCAUCCUCUGUCGCCCCGUCUCCUCCUGCCCCCAGUCCUGCCCGGUGUCAGGGUCUUUGCUGAUGAGCCGGCCCUUCCCAUCAGGGGCCAGAGUGUCGCAGCCUCUGAGGCCUCUCUGGCCCCUGCAGCUGCGUUCCCGCCGGCACUGCCGCUGCUUUCGGGGCCUGUGGUGGUGGGGGU
RNAcentral lists this long non-coding RNA (744 nucleotides) under Ovis aries (sheep). Its description in RNAcentral is "lncRNA (ENSOARG00000025722.1)". Lineage: Eukaryota; Metazoa; Chordata; Mammalia; Artiodactyla; Bovidae. The record is from RNAcentral.